AACCAUCUUGCAUUUCUUGCGCCUUCGGGCAGAGAACUGCGUUUGGAUCAGUGGCGGACGGGUGAGUAACGCGUGAGUAACCUGCCUUCAAGAGGGGGACAACACACCGAAAGGUGUGCUAAUACCGCAUAAUAUAGUGAUAUCGCAUGGUAUUGCUAUCAAAGAUUUAUCGCUUGAAGAUGGACUCGCGUCUGAUUAGCUAGUAGGUAAGGUAACGGCUUACCUAGGCGACGAUCAGUAGCCGGACUGAGAGGUCGAUCGGCCACAUUGGGACUGAGACACGGCCCAGACUCCUACGGGAGGCAGCAGUGGGGGAUAUUGCGCAAUGGGGGAAACCCUGACGCAGCAAUGCCGCGUGAAGGAUGACGGCCUUCGGGUUGUAAACUUCUUUGAUGAGGGAAGAAACAAAUGACGGUACCUCAAAAACAAGCCACGGCUAACUACGUGCCAGCAGCCGCGGUAAU
RNAcentral lists this ribosomal RNA (464 nucleotides) under uncultured bacterium. RNAcentral describes it as "bacterial SSU rRNA". It matches the Rfam family "Bacterial small subunit ribosomal RNA", at positions 49 to 524 of the family's 1533-position model. The record is from RNAcentral.